CUCCAGCUUCCUAUUUUAAAUAAAGCACUCGGUCUCUUUUUUCCCAGUCGCAUAUUCGGUUCGCCUCUAUAAAUCUCGACUCUCUCCCCCGUUAAAUUCCUCUCGAAUUCUCUUUUCCCUUCUCGUCUUCUUCGUUCUCGAUCAUUAUAAGAAAGAAACCACGAAAGCCUCAACAUAAUGGGGUGAGUUGUAUGUCCGUCCGAUUUUUUCCGUCGCCCGUCCGGGUAUUUCGCCAAAACUGGAAGAAGACGAUCGGGAGUUGUAUGCCCGUCCGAUUUUUUGGGUCACCCGUCCGAGUAUUUCGCCAAAACCGGAAGAAGACGAUCCAUCGAGGAAGUCAAGCUCGUGAUCACGCGGGACACGAGCGCAGAGAAGCUCACUGCCCACGGGAGCCUCCUCCGCUAUGCCAAGCUCAUUGCCUCCUCCCUCAAGAACCUCAUCCAGGGUUUCCAGACCUGCGUGGUCGCUGCCUUCAUGACCAUUGUUAACCUGGUAGCUAAAGCCUUACGUAUCUCUGGUGGAGAUCACUCUGGUAAUGUAGUAGGUUUUCGGCCUGUAGCUUCUAGAGGUGUUCACGAGCAUAUGUCUACUGUGACCGUGAUUUUUGGAGAUGAUUCCGAACUAUAAUUUGGCGGAGGAACUUUAGGACACCCUUGGGAAAAUGCACCGGGUGCCGUUGGGGGCCUAUACUUGGGGGCGCUUCUGAAGCAAUUCGGCCUGGCAAUGGGGGACUACCUGGUGAUGGAGGAUGUUCCAGUUGUUGGGCAAUCAACGGAGGAGCAGUGAAAGUAGCUGGGAAGCAAUUAAGGAAGGGACUGUGCACUACGGUGACAGUCUUUUAUUUUUCUUUAGUUGGACCAAUUAAACUUGUUUACGCUAUUUUCCUUUAAUAUUGAAUUCCCAUGAUUAUCA
Molecule: long non-coding RNA, 912 nt
Organism: Eucalyptus grandis
Lineage: Eukaryota; Viridiplantae; Streptophyta; Magnoliopsida; Myrtales; Myrtaceae
Exons: 3
Source: RefSeq, a predicted model, not a curated record